AGAACCACAGAUUCAAAAUACACUUUUAAGCAACUCAAAAAGAAGCGCUUAAGUUUUUAAGCACUUAAAAACCUGCCGCUAUUCGGGAGUUUACAAGGAACUGAAGCUGGGAAUAUGCUUACCGCAGAAGCCAGCUGCUCCUCUGUCAUGUCCUCCACAAAGACGGGCCGAGCAAUGGGCUCUUCUGGGAGCGCAUCUGCAGAGCCCAUCAUUAAUAAGGUCAUCCCAUCUUUUAUUUUUAUGUUCCCCCAGUCAUCAUCCUUCAGGGUUCCUCCUCUAAGCAUGACCUUCUGUCGAGCUGGCUGAACUCCGGUCAGGGCAAACAGCUGAGCCUUGAAGACCAUUGGAGGCUCAUCCGUGUUCAGCUCCACACCAUCGAAUUUCUCUUUUCC
RNAcentral lists this long non-coding RNA (392 nucleotides) under Gallus gallus (chicken). Lineage: Eukaryota; Metazoa; Chordata; Aves; Galliformes; Phasianidae. The record is from RNAcentral.